CGAGAGAUAGACGCUGUCAAUCAAACUCCACAAGAUCAGUCAUCAGAUGAAGAUGCCUCCUCAGGUAAUGUUCCUGGCUAUUGCUGUUUUUUUGGUGACAGUAACAAAUGCUUAUCCAUCCACAUUGUACAAAAGCGUUCCUGCUGGCAAC
This is a non-coding RNA of Paramisgurnus dabryanus, 151 nucleotides long. Lineage: Eukaryota; Metazoa; Chordata; Actinopteri; Cypriniformes; Cobitidae. The record is from RefSeq and is a predicted model, not a curated record.